AUAAAAAUCUUAAAAAAAAUUGGACUGAUACAGAGAAGAUUAGUGUGGCCCCUGAACAAGGAUGACAUGCAAAUUUGUGAGGAAAUGGGAAAGCAAUAUUGAUUUUU
Non-coding RNA from Canis lupus familiaris (dog), 107 nucleotides. The record is from Rfam. NCBI's taxonomy places the organism in Eukaryota, Metazoa, Chordata, Mammalia, Carnivora, Canidae.